UAAAUAAAAUCAUGUAUUGUUUAGGGGGGUACACAUCUCCGUUGAUAGAUAGAGAGAUGAAGGAUAGAUGUAGAUGGAUGGGUGGAUGGAUAGAUAGAUAUGCAUUAUAUAGACUUCAAAAUAACUGAAACACACAUAUCUCCCAAAUUCGGCUGAAACAUAAAACUUAAUAAUACUGGGCUUGACUAAGUUACAGGUUUUAGAAGAUGCGUGUAUUUAAAAAGUUCUGAAGAAAAAAAUAUAUCCCAAAUAUUAACACCAUCCCGGACUUAGGAAAACCAUAAUGGGAUGAGAACAUGGAGGUACCAGCAGUGACAUAAGGCCUUUUUGUCUGGGAGACUAUUUUCUGAAGUCACGGUAGGAAGUGGUCUAACAGACCUCCAGAAAAACAACCGCUCCAUCUGCCGCAUCAGCACAAUGAGACACUGCAAUAUUCAGAUCUGGAUAAGAACCAACCCUAAAGAUUCAACAUUCAUUGGGAUUAACAUCAUUGCAUCAAGAGGGAAGAGGAAAUGAGUCAAAGAAUAGGUAGUCAGGCCCUGGUUCCUUGCAAAGCCCACUUCCCACACAGAACUUUAAAGUGGGAGGAGGGGAAUGAGAAUGGAGAGUGGGGGUUCUGGAGUGAGAAAACAGACUGAAGACCCAACCCCCUCCUCAGAGUUGAAAGGGAGCCUGGGCUUUGAUUCAAGAGCAGCUUCCCAGGGAACCUAGGAAGGAUGUUUUUUUGUUAUGUACCUUUUAAAACACAAGGCUCUCAAGCACCUCCCAGGAAACCUCUUACUCUCUGCUCAAGGAAUUCCUUCUGGAAGUGCAAAUUUCACCCUUCCAGGAUGAAUCAGAGAGCAGGCAUUGUUUAGGUAUCCUUGCUCUGCUUUCAGGAUGAGGACGUGCAGCAUGCAGAGCCUUGACACCUUGACAUCUGCUUCUGUGGGAGACUCACUCACUCCCUGCCUCCACCUCCUCCCUGGGAAGAGGGUGUGGGCUGAGCCUGUCACCUCCCCGUGUACCAUGGACUACAAAACUCCUGAACAGGGAAAGCUCCUAUUGCUGGAACAGAUACAUAUUUGUUAAUGUUGCAAUAAG
Molecule: long non-coding RNA, 1083 nt
Filed under: Canis lupus familiaris (dog)
Lineage: Eukaryota; Metazoa; Chordata; Mammalia; Carnivora; Canidae
Description: lncRNA (ENSCAFG00000052849.1)
Source: RNAcentral